AUUGAACGCUGGCGGCAGGCUUAACACAUGCAAGUCGAGCGGGGGAAGGUAGCUUGCUACCGGACCUAGCGGCGGACGGGUGAGUAAUGCUUAGGAAUCUGCCUAUUAGUGGGGGACAACAUCUCGAAAGGGAUGCUAAUACCGCAUACGUCCUACGGGAGAAAGCAGGGGAUCUUCGGACCGUGCGCUAAUAGAUGAGCCUAAGUAGGAGUGGCUAGUUGGUGGGGUAAAGGCCUACCAAGGCGACGAUCUGUAGCGGGUCUGAGAGGAUGAUCCGCCACACUGGGACUGAGACACGGCCCAGACUCCUACGGGAGGCAGCAGUGGGGAAUAUUGGACAAUGGGGGGAACCCUGAUCCAGCCAUGCCGCGUGUGUGAAGAAGGCCUUAUGGUUGUAAAGCACUUUAAGCGAGGAGGAGGCUGGUUUAGUUAAUACCUAGAGAUAGUGGACGUUACUCGCAGAAUAAGCACCGGCUAACUCUGUGCCAGCCGCCGCAGUAA
RNAcentral lists this ribosomal RNA (501 nucleotides) under uncultured bacterium. RNAcentral's name for it is "partial 16S ribosomal RNA". It matches the Rfam family "Bacterial small subunit ribosomal RNA", at positions 30 to 523 of the family's 1533-position model. The record is from RNAcentral.